Long non-coding RNA from Tupaia belangeri chinensis (Chinese tree shrew), 1285 nucleotides. RefSeq lists it as uncharacterized. Lineage: Eukaryota; Metazoa; Chordata; Mammalia; Scandentia; Tupaiidae. The transcript is spliced from 6 exons. The record is from RefSeq and is a predicted model, not a curated record.
GCUGCGUAGCCGGGAUUGGCUGGAAAGCGCCACGUCCCCGAGAGCGCGCCGAGUUGCGUGGACCGAUUCCCGCCCAGCUGUGGUUCUGCGGCCUGUGGGGCUGGCGGGCUACAGCCCCAUACCCCGGGAGACGUGUGGGCGCGGCCUUAGCCGCCACGUCUCCAUUCUCAGCGUGUGACUUUCCACAAGGCUUCCAGGAUACCCUGCUGGUUAUCUUCCUGCCCACAGGCCUCCAGGGCGGAAUCGAUCCACUGUAUCAGUCACCGACUGUAUCGAAUAGUCCAGUCUCUCCUUUCCCUUCAGCGCCGUCGCCCUGAUGUGUCUACGGGAAGCUUUUGGCUACAGUUCGUCUGCACACGCGGGGGUCCUUUCUCAGGCCCGAAGAAGAUAAGUCUUUGCCAUGGAGCUUUCCAGAACUGACUAUACAUUUUAGGAACAACCAUAGCAGCUCCAUAAAAGCCAAGCAGAGGCCAGGCUUUCUGUGUGGAACUGAUGACAUUUCUGCACAUGCUCAGGGGCCUGUUGCACUUUUGUCCUGGGAUCUCUCUCUCCCCUCCUGGCCGUGGGCAGCUGACCAAGCCCUGGGACUGCCAAUCAGCUCACAAUGAUGAAUGGAUGACGUCAUGGAAAAGCAGGAAAAAUAUCCUCCAUGGUAACCUUCUCUAAGAAUGGAGUCAGAGACCACAUCCUGAGGUUCACAGUUCCCUGGAAACGGAAUACACAGCACAAAAGUGAUGGUGAUUAAUAAGCUGAUACGUGGCUUCUCAAAGUUCCAAGGUGGCUGCUUCAGCUCCUGCCAUCAUGUUUGUGAGAAGCAAGCAGUGACCAGUGAGAAGCAAGAAAGGAAAGGGGAGUACACAUUUAUUCCUUUUAAGGGCAUGACCUGGAAAUGGCAUAAUCACUUUUGCUCACAUCCCAUUGGUCGGAAUUCAGACACUUGGCCACACCCAGUUGCAAGAGAAGCUAGGAAAUGUGGCUUUUAGUUGGAUGAAACAUGAGCCUACCUAGAACUGAGGAGUUAUAUUAUUUAAAUGAAGAAUAUCAAAGGACAAUCAGCAGCCUCUGUGAAGAAGCCAUGUCACAUAAUCACUCCGUCUGACCUACACAUUGAGAGCCUGACUGACUAGACCCUGAAGCAAGAAGACAACCCGGAAGACACAAAGAAGACCAAAGGACCUAGGGAUCUGCCCAGGGAAGAACAGAACAGAACACAUUUCAGUCUUUAUGAAGAAGGCCAGAAGUUCAGCAUUCAAAAAUCCAUGCAUAGGGGCUGGCAGGUGGCGUG